This 265-nucleotide ribosomal RNA is filed under the name uncultured bacterium. RNAcentral describes it as "partial 16S ribosomal RNA". It matches the Rfam family "Bacterial small subunit ribosomal RNA", at positions 793 to 1055 of the family's 1533-position model. The record is from RNAcentral.
GUCCACGCCGUAAACUAUGGGUGCUAGCCGUCGGAUAGCUUGCUAUUCGGUGGCGCAGCUAACGCAUUAAGCACCCCGCCUGGGGAGUACGGCCGCAAGGUUAAAACUCAAAGGAAUUGACGGGGGCCCCGCACAAGCGGUGGAGCAUGUGGUUUAAUUCGACGCAACGCGAAGAACCUUACCAGCUCUUGACAUUUACUGAUCGUUUCCAGAGAUGGAUUCAUCCCAGCAAUGGGCAGUAGGACAGGUGCUGCAUGGCUGUCGU